UUUCAGAUUCAUUAGCAUGCUAAAAAUUAUUAAACAAACAAGGUUGAUUUUAUUAAAAUCUAACUUAUUAUAGGCUAAAAUUAUUCUAAUUUGAUUCAACAUGCGUAAUUAUUGGAGUUUAAUUAUUUCAAGACUAUUAACAUGCUUAAAAUUACUAAAUAUGGUUGGUUGAGCAGGUAGUAAAUAUCAUAUUAUAGGCACAAUAUUCUACAUAGAAUAACACAAAUAUUACCAC
This 235-nucleotide long non-coding RNA is filed under the name Solanum tuberosum (potato). RNAcentral's name for it is "long non-coding RNA (STUB_LNC003582)". The record is from RNAcentral. Lineage: Eukaryota; Viridiplantae; Streptophyta; Magnoliopsida; Solanales; Solanaceae.